Marmota monax (woodchuck) is the source of this 1130-nucleotide long non-coding RNA. RefSeq lists it as uncharacterized. The transcript has 3 exons. Lineage: Eukaryota; Metazoa; Chordata; Mammalia; Rodentia; Sciuridae. The record is from RefSeq and is a predicted model, not a curated record.
GCAGGCAGAGGACUCUGUUCUCCACGUAGCUGACCCUGUCCUCCAGCUGUCACUCAGUGGAGCUGCACCUUGGCUGGCACUCGGGGUUUGUGUCCCAUCAUCCCCAGGCCUGGUUCUGCCUCCCGACAGCUUGGCAGCUUGGCAGAAGCAACCCUCGAGGUUGCCUUCAAUGUCUGCCUUCUGACCACACUGGACACACCUGGCCUCUGAGCUGGGUACCUGUUCACUCCUGGACACACCUCCUCGUGACCAACUACCUACCAGCGCCCUCCGUACCUCGGAAUCAUGUUCGACAAGUUAGAAGAAGAUUCCAGAAACCCAAAGAGGGUGAAAGUCCCUUUCUUAAUAGGACAGAGACCCUCAGAGCAGGCACAGAAAAUGUCGGUGGAGACCUGGCUCGACUCCCUUUGUGGAGUCCCCCAGCAAGGCAGCUGCCAGAGCCCACAGAAGAGACUCAGGCUUCAUCACAGUCAUCAGAUCUGAAGUCGAGGAAGAGCCGGAUAACUGUUACCUCAUUGCUCAAAAAUGGAAGCUUGGCGUCUCCAGAACGUAAGGCUGAGCUCUCAAUGAAUCUCCCACGGAGGACGCAGCAGCAGGUAGGUGCAAGGAAAGAGCACCAGGGAGCCAACGUCACAGGCCACAGACUUGUGUAGCAGAGCAAGUAGCCACGGCUUGGGUUGGGCACCUCAUCCUCACCUCCUGCUGGGGAACAAACCCUUCAGAUACUGCACUGCUGCUUCCUGAAAGGAGUGUGUUGUGAAGUUUAAACCAUAUGAAGCCUUUUCCCUGCACGACGGUGUCUGAGUUUCGCCUACCACUCGGCAUCUUGAAAUAUUUUGUCUUCUCCGUGGAAACCCACCCCCUUUUCUUUUUUGGGAAAACGCCUGGCUGACCUGACUCCCGUAACCCCCAUCUGAAACAAGUCAUGUUGGCCUGAGAACUUAUUUUGAGUACUGAUUGAUAGGAAAAUUUGUAAGUUCUUUUAAUAACCUUUAAGAUUUAUUUUUAACAUGCAAGAAAAUAUGUGAUAUCAUAGAGAUAAGGCAAAAUAAAAUUGAUCUUUACAAGAGAUGAAAAAAAUCUUGCCACCCCAUAAUGUCUGAUCAAAUAAAAUUAACUUUGACAACUGA